Molecule: ribosomal RNA, 445 nt
Filed under: uncultured bacterium
Lineage: Bacteria
Description: partial 16S ribosomal RNA
Rfam family: Bacterial small subunit ribosomal RNA
Source: RNAcentral
GUAAGGAAUAUUGGGCAAUGGGCGCAAGCCUGACCCAGCCAUGCCGCGUGAAGGAUGACGGCCCUAUGGGUUGUAAACUUCUUUUGUACGGGAAAAAACCACCGGUCGUGACCGGUGCUGAUGGUACCGUAAGAAUAAGCAUCGGCUAACUCCGUGCCAGCAGCCGCGGUAAUACGGAGGAUGCAAGCGUUAUCCGGAUUCAUUGGGUUUAAAGGGUGCGCAGGCGGAAUAAUAAGUCAGUGGUGAAAUCCUACGGCUCAACUGUAGAACUGCCAUUGAUACUGUUAUUCUUGAGUACACUUGAAGUGGGCGGAAUGUGUCAUGUAGCGGUGAAAUGCUUAGAUAUGACACAGAACACCGAUCGCGAAGGCAGCUCACUAAAUUGUAACUGACGCUCAUGCACGAAAGCGUGGGGAUCAAACAGGAUUAGAUACCCCUGUAGUCC